RNAcentral lists this small RNA (28 nucleotides) under Bombyx mori (domestic silkworm). Its description in RNAcentral is "ovarian small RNA-9317". Lineage: Eukaryota; Metazoa; Arthropoda; Insecta; Lepidoptera; Bombycidae. The record is from RNAcentral.
UUACAGUAUCUACAGACUGAAGGGUUCC